Cyprinus carpio (common carp) is the source of this 1014-nucleotide long non-coding RNA. RefSeq lists it as uncharacterized. The transcript is spliced from 3 exons. NCBI's taxonomy places the organism in Eukaryota, Metazoa, Chordata, Actinopteri, Cypriniformes, Cyprinidae. The record is from RefSeq and is a predicted model, not a curated record.
UUGUGAAAAAAAUGGAUUGUUCUGAAGAGCUCAGUGAAUUCAAGUGUGGUACUCUGAUAGGAUGCCACUUUUGCAAUAAGGCUGUUAUUUCAUCACUGCUAGAUAUUCCACAGUCAACUGUAAGAGGCAUUACUGGAAAUUGAAAGCAUUUAGGAACAGCAGCACCUCAACCAUGAAGCAGGAGAUAAAGUCACAGAGUAGGGUGACCGAGAGCUGAGGUUAAAAACUGUAUGGUGGGAGUCUCACAAAAACAUCUUGGAUGACAUGGGGGAUCACUAGACAGGCAGCUGAGUUUGGUCAAGUUUGGAACUAAACUCUCCAGGAAAGUGGACAGAGUUGAGAACCCCUGGUGUAAAGCAUGGACUCUGGAGCAGUGGAAACAUGUUCUAUGGAGCGAUGAAUCACACUUCUCUGUUUGGCAGUCUGAUGGGCGAGUCUGGAUUGGAGGAUGCCCGGAGACAGUCACCUGUCUGACUGCAUUGUGCUAACUGUAAUGUUUGGUGGGGGAGGGAUAAUGACGCUGUUUUUCUAGCACUGGGCUUGUUAGGGAUGUAUUUAGAAGACAAUGUCAUUAAAGUCCUGUAAUGGUCAGGUGUCCGAACACUUUUACAGUGUAUAUAAUUAUAGGUUUUAUAUAGGUUUUAAUAUAAAUAUGUACUCCCCCACAUUAAAUAGCACUAACAUUUCAUAUAAAUAUGAAUAUAUAAUGACCAGAGAAAUAUUUUUCAUGUUUUAUCAAAAUGACAUAACUUGAUCUAUCAAUGAAUGGUGAUGUAUGCGCGACUUUUCCAGUCAUUUAGUCUGCUUAAAACACGCCCCUUCACUAACAACUGCAAUCUUGCACUCAUUUUUGAGUGCAUCACCCACAUCUCAAAAUCCAAUAAACAACCUAUAUUCCCACCCUACAUUUAUUUUUUCUUUGUGGAUAAUCUGUUAAACUCGAAAGUGCAUCACAACAGACCUUAGUCUGGGUAGCACCAUAUUUAAUUUUUGACAGGAAUGAAAAUGAGUCUC